UCUUCCGGGGGGGAGGGGAGGCGAGACGAGGCCUCUGGGGCGGGCGCCCGCUCGGGCGGGCACGUGGGGCCCCUUCGUCCUCAGCGUCCGGGCGCCCCGCGCCAGUCCCCACCCCCGCCCCGGCCCUGUGGCGGCGGCCGGUGGGGAGAAAGACCAAAACCUAUCUCGCGCCGCCGCCAUCAGAGUCGCGGCUGUGCUGAUGGUUUCUGGGAAGUGCUAGAAACGGGGCCAUAAAGAGAAUGGCGUCCAUUUACAUAAUGCUUUGUCUGCAUUUUGCAACUCUUCGUUAAGCCCGCAGAAACCCCACCUCCUACGCUGGUGUCGUUUUAGUCGCUGCCGCCUCGUCACACGUUUAAGACAAUGGCGUGCAUUUAUCCGGGCUCUCAGGGGGUUCCUGCGGUUCCCCCGCGCGGGUUACGCUCCCGCUGCUGCCUUUCGGCCCCUUCCCGGCUCAGCGCAGCCAUCGCGCCCGCGCUGUCCGGGGGCGGCCCCCAACUGGGCCCGCCAUCUUGGAGGACCUUUCCUGAGGGUGUGGAGCCGAGCGGCCCUCCCGCUAAGGAAAGGUCGCUGGGGCCGUUGGUGCGCCAGUUGUGAUUUCUGCCCGUUUCCUUUUCCUUGGCUUGAGCCAGACAGAACAGGCCGAGUGCGCGGCGUGGUUUAGGAUACCUUAGGGAAAGCGGCUAACGUGGCGGUCCCUCAGUCCCCACCCCCCCCGCCUUCCCCGUGGGGGUGGCCGCCAUAUUUGCUGAACACAAAAUGGCGACACGUGUCCUGGAUUCGUCGCCAACGAGAAAUUGGGGUCGGCCUGAAAACUUUAGAAUGCGCCCCCUUCCCACCCCACCCACGAUGAAUUCAUUUAGGCCAAGAGAGAUGAAGUGACUAAUUGAAGGUCACACAGUGUCCAGGAUGGAUUCCAGACUUUCUGAUACACUUAUUGACCUGGCACUAUCUUGUGGAUAUGUGAGUGAAUUCCACACCUCCCAUUUUACCGAUGAAGCCACUGAGAUACAGAGUAACUGACUAAAUAGUCACCACCCCACCCCUGGAGCCUCACAUGACUCUUUCAGAUGACAUGUGGUCUUGUCACUGUAAUGUGGUAGUUGAGGCUGUGACUCUGGAGCUAGCCUGAUGGGGACUGAAUUCUCACUCAGCCACUUCUUAUAUGACCUUGGAAAUGAACAAAACUACGGGAGGUCUAGGAAUGGUGAAGCGGCGCCUGUGCUUUUGAGUGCUCAGAUUAUGUGAAAGGAAUUGAAGCAGACACUGCGCGAGGGGAAGUCUCAGUCCCUCCUUGAGGAGCAUCUCUUGGGCCAUUUUUCAGGCUGCUCCGUGUAGCAUGUGGGAUCUUAGUUUCUAGACCAGGGAUUGAACCCACGCCCCCUUCGUUGGAAGCAUCACUGGACCACCAAGGAAGUCCCAGCAAAUCUCUUUAAUGAAUAGCUUAAUAGAAGACAGCCGGAUUCUCAUGCCUGCUUUUGUAUUCAAUAAUAUAUUGCUUUCCUUGGAGUAGAUGAAUGAAAUUCAGCUUCAUAUAGAUUCGUAUUUGGAAAAAAAUCAAGUACAGAGGCCACUUGUUUCCUGAGAAGAGGUGGGGCUACACCUCUUGUGCCCAGAGACCUCACUAGGCUCUGACAGGAACACAAAAGAAAUGUAAGACACAGACUAUACCCACAGUCAAGAGAAUUGAGUAGACAACAUUAAGUUUGAAAAGUUGUAAUAGCACAGAAAUAUACAGAAUUGUCCCUCCAUGUCCAGGCAUUGGUUCCGGGAGCUCUCUCCUCAUCCCUGGAGUUACCAAGAUUCAUGGAUGCUCAAGUCGCCUGUAUAAAAAGGUGUAGUAUUUGUAUAUAACCUAUGCACAUCUUCCCACAUACUUUUUUUUUUUUUUUUUUGGCCUGGCUUGUAAAAUCUUAGUUCCCCAAGUAGGGAUUGAACCCAGGCCUUGACAGUGAAAACAUGGAGUCCUAACCACUGGACCUCCAGGAAUUCCAGUAUACUUUAAAUCAUCUCUAGAGUACUUGCAAUAACUAAUACAAUGGAAAUGCUAUGUAAAUAGUUGUAAAUACAGUGUAAAUGCUGUGCAAAUGAUUGCCAGUGAGGGGACAAUUUCAAGUUUUGCUUUUUGGAACUUUAUGGAUUUUUUUCCCACUUGAGUAUUUUCAAUCCUUCGCUUUUUGGAUUUGCAGAUGAGGGCCGUAUAUUACAUAUAAGGACCCUCAGAGCCAAAUGGGAAUUCUAGACCAGGUGACGGGAGAGGAUGGCCUUCAAAAUCAUUGUGUCAGGCCCUGCUCCCUUGGACUGCACAGUGGGAGCUGGAAACACCAGUGACCCCAGUGGGACCCUUGGUAUUCAUCAGCACCAAAUAUACCAGGAACUGGAUUUGAUGAAGCUGGACUUCCUUAUUGGUACAGAAAUCUUACAUGAGGUUUCUUUAGGAAGACGCCCCUCACUGCUAUUGACUUGGGGGCAUCCCCCAUUCUCUGGCCCAAGGAUAUUCCUGUGGAUUCUCAGAGCCCCUGUGUCCUUGCUGCUGUGGCUGCUACAGCUCCCAGCUAUAUGCUCCCCACUGUAGACAAAUCAGCCUGUACUGGGGUUUUUUAUUCUUCAUCUUGCAGGGAAUCCUGUGUUCAGUCGUUGCCGUCUCCAAGUCUUCUCUUCUCUAAUGACUUCCUGUAGGUUAGUUCUGGGGAUCUUUCCUUAAUUGACUCUUAAAUGUGUUUUACUUCUAGAGAAUUCUUCAUAAUUGCCAGCAUUGUGACGGCUUCUUCCUAGUUUCCUCCUCUUUCACAUUUGCUAGGUUUGUUUUUUUUAAUUAAGUGACUUUUCCAGGGUCCGUUUUUAUUGAGGAGUAAUGAACAUAAAGUCACAAAUUUUAAGCAUAUAUCUCAGUGAGUUUUUUUUGUAUCUGUACACCAUGAAACUACCACACUGAUCAAGGUAAUCUUUUCAGAGUUAAGAAGCUGUUGGUGGGAGGUUGCAUGGAGAGGGAGAUCACGAGUGUGUCCCCAGGCUGCCAUCUUUUUCUAGAACUGUGUUUAAAGAGGCUUAAGGAGGGAGCCUCACACCAAGACUAUAUAGUGGUGUGGAGAGCAGAAUGGUUAGGAGUGAUGGGUCAUGGUUUGGUCAUCCCCCUUACCAGCCAUGGGACUUAUGUACCUCAGUGUCAAUAACUGUAAAAUGGGAGUAGGUGAUAGCUCUUACCUCACUAGUUUGUCAUGAAGAUUACACAAGGAAGUACCUGUCAGUGCCCCCAAAAAUGUUAAUUGUUGUUUUUGUUGUUAUUAAUAACGAGGAGGAGGAGGCAGUGGUUCUUAGUGAAGGGUACACAUCAGAAUCACCUGGGAGCACUUUUGCGAAAGUAUACAUGCUCAGUCUGGCCAGAUGUACUGAGUCAGAGUCUAGAUUUUGAAUACCUCCCCAAGUCAUUCUGUUGCUUAUCUUGGUGAAGAACCACUUGGCUGGAGGCGGCCAUGACAGAACGCAGGAAGAUCAGUGGGUGGCUGCUGCAAUAGUGAGGGCAGGAGGGGAUUGAGCUGGACAGAUUCAAAGCGGAGUGGAGAGGUCGCCAGGAUGAUGACCUUGGGUGGGGAGCAAGGAGGGAGGGGAAGGAGUCUGGGGUGACUCACAAGGUGCUGACCUGGAUGGCGGCUUGAGUAGGUGGUGGAUGAGCCAGAAUCAGUAAUACAGGAAGGGGGGUGGGGAGUGGGCCAGAGAUUGCUAUAAUUCUUCUUGGGAUUGUUGAAUGGAGGCUUCUGGUGAAAACACCAAGCAAGUAUGUGGAUCUCCAGGCCUGGACCAGUGGUGUUUUUCAGGGAGUCACUGGUGGGAAGGAGAUAGAUCAAGCCAUGGGCAUGGUUGUAGAGUGAAUGUAGAAGGCAGAAGAAGGCCAAGUUCAUACUCAUUCACCUCUGGGAAGGCGUGGGUCUAUCUACUUCUUCCUCCCUCCCUUGAAACAGAAAUGCUUAUUUCUCAUGUAACCGCCCCGUUGCUGAGGACUGCUGGGAAAUAAAAUCAGUCUUCUCACUUGAGGAUGAGUAAUCACUGUGGGUCACUUCCUUUCCUCACAGGUCUCAAGGUUUUCCUCAUCUGCUGAUCAAAGAGCUUUAUCUUCCACCAGCAUCCUUAGACAGCACAUUCUUUGGUUUUCUUCAGGCCCUUGAUAUCAACCAGUUACGCUUUAGUAAGCGUUUAAACCAUUCCAGUCUCUCCCAGGCCUGGUUCACCUUACUCAUUACCACAGAACACUACCCAUACCUUUCCUUCUGCCCUGCGGCUCCCUCUCUAUUCCUGCUUGUGCCAUGGUAAGCCCUGCCUCCUCCAGGAAGACUUCCCUGACUCCCAUCCCUUCCAGGUGAAGCCAGAUGUGGAGCUCUGAACAGAUUCCCACUGGCUUCCCAGUUGGGUAUGGGGGUGGCAGGGAUGGGUCUCAGGAAGAUGGGUCUCAGGAUGGAUGUGCACAAGGUCACGGCCUUUCAAACUUCUUUGAUCACCACUUACAAACAGAUAUAUAAAACUGAAGCAAAAGUUUUGUGAAAAUAACACACACUCUGUGUGAUCCAUUUGGGUAUUUUCUGUUCUGUUUAUUUUUUAAAGAAAAAUGCUAGUUGCAGCCCCUUAAACUGAUUUCACAACCCAGUCAUGGGUCCCAACCCAACAGGGUGAAAAACACAGAGUAAGAUCAUUAGUGCUCAGAACAACUCCAAACACAGCCGAGGGGCCCUCUCCAAAUGUUGCUCUUCGGUUCCUCCACAAGCAGGCAGAUGAUGGCGCCGGUGGCUGUGUGCGCCUGGUGGCGGUCCACUGGGCAGUGCUCUGUCUGCUCUCUCUGUGGAGUCUCCUUUCAGGGCCCCUGUUGGUUGUGCCAUAAAGUGGCCAUGGGCACAGAUACUUUUGUCAGUGCUGAGAGGUGGAAGUCUAUGAAGCACUCCACACGCCUGACAGCAAGAUGCCAGCUCAGUGUCAAGUGUCACAGGGCUGUGUAUCUCAUCCAUUAGAUGAGGCUCCUCGUGGAGGCAAAGCUUCCAGCCCCUCUGGGGCUCAUGGUGUUGCUCACCUGGCUCAGUUGCUCAGUCGUGUCUAACUCUUUGAGACCCCAUGGACUGUAGCACACCAGGCUCCUCUGUCCAUGGAAUUUUCCAGGCAAGACUACUACAGCAGGUUGCCAUUUCCUCCUCCAGGGUGUCUUCCCUACCCAGGGAUCAAAUCUACUUCUCUUGCGUCGUCUGCAUUGGCAGAUGGAUUCUUUACUGGUAGUGCCAGCCAGGAAGCCCUACUCACCUAACAGGGCUACACAUAACAAAUAGAAUAAGAGCAAAACAUGGGGCUCUUGCAUGCGUUAUAGUAACAACGAUAGAAGUGAUGGCUCUUACUGGCCAGAGGGUGGAUGAUAAAGCCAUCAAUACACAAGGAACAUUCCAGGUGCAGUGAAUCUUGGAGCCCUCUCUCCCUCUGGAACUGGAAGUUAGUGAAAACAGAACCUGUAGGAGUAACUACUUCAAAACCCCUGCAUUUAAGCCGGGUGCUUUAUCUCUCUGAGAGCCUCAAAGUCUGUUGACAUUUGUUUAGUACACUUUUCUAAGAAAAGCGGCUAUCUGAUUUCUCAACCCACUGAAAAAGAAAAUAAAUUGCCUGGACAGGUGUUGGUGGUAGGUCUUUUCUAGAGAAAGAGAGAUGUGUAGGUAACAGGAAAGUAAAAGCCAUGGGGAGGGAGAGAGAAACAGUAAACAGUAACCACAGUCAUAUGGUUGUCUCAUUCCUUAGGGAAAGCUCCUAAUAAUGACCACUUCAGUGGGAAAAGGGUAUUUUUUAUUUUUAUUUUUUUGGAAAAGGGUAUUUUUUAAAGCAUUAGUAAACUGUGGGCCACAUUUGAGCAACCACUUUAAAGUGGUUAAAAUAGUGUUUUGGCUGUUGAAGUUUCAUUUUUCAGAAAACAUUCAUGGGAACCUCAGUUAUUCUGGAACUCAGGUGCUGUUGAACUGCUGCUGGUCAGGGCUAGUUCGGAGUUUGAGGCAUGCUGUGAGCUUGGGUUCAUGGGCAAGUCCUCCCCAUCCAGCCCUAGUCAGCCUCAUAGCCUGCAACCCCUCCAUUACUCUUACGUCAGGUUCCUUUGCUCACCAGUGUGAAUUUGUGAAUGAACUCUUUCCAUUCUGAAAGCUUUUUGAUACAGUUGUGGCUCACUGAUAUCCUGAAGGGAGAUGUUCAGAAGGGACUGAACUGGACACUCCCUGAGGGUGGGGUGGGGCAGGACCUGAUGCAGUGGCCUGAAGGACUAGUAGUUGUUGUUAAGUCACUGUUAUGUCUGACUCUUUGUGGCCCCAUGGACUGUAGCACACCAGGCUCCUCUGUCCUCUGCUAUCUCCCAGAGUUUGCUCAAGUUCAUGUCCA
Long non-coding RNA from Cervus elaphus (red deer), 6384 nucleotides. RefSeq lists it as uncharacterized. The record is from RefSeq and is a predicted model, not a curated record. Lineage: Eukaryota; Metazoa; Chordata; Mammalia; Artiodactyla; Cervidae. The transcript has 9 exons.